AUGACUCUCGGCAAUAGAUAUCUCAUCUCUCGCAUCGAUGAAGAACGUAGGAAAAUGUGAUACUUGGUGUGAAUUGCAGGAUCCCAUGAACCAUAGAGUAUUUGAACGCAAGUUGCGCCCGAAGCUAUUAGGUCGAGGGCAUGUCUUCCUGGGCAUCACACAUCGCGUCGCCCCCUCGCAUCAUGCCUCAAUCAUGGGGUGCACUAUUGUUGUGGGGCGGAUACUGGCCUCUCGUGCACCUCGAGCUCGCAGCUGGCCUAAAUGCGAGUCCACGUCGACGGACGUCGCGGAAAGUGGUAGUUGUAUCUCAACUCUCAUUGUUGUCGCGACUAUAGCCCAUCGCGUGUCUAGACUCCAAGACUCUUUCACGCUUCGGCACUCCGACCGCGACCCCAGGUCACACGGGAUUACCCAAAAUAGCCUAGCAUUAGAAUCAGGCGGCUCUGUCACCCGAAUUAUAGUUUGGAGAAGCGUCCUCAGCGGUGGAGCAGGCCCAACUCCCCUAGAAGUGGGCGCUAGAGAGGGUGAGAGCCCCAUUAUGCCCGGACCCUGUCGCACCACGGGGCACUAUCUACGUGUUGGGUUGUUUGGGAAUGUAGCCCAAAUCGAGCGGUGAAUUCCGUCUAAGGCUAAAUACGGGCGAUAGACCGAUAGCGAAUAAUUACCACAAGGGAAAGAUGAAAAGGACUUUGAAAAGAGAGUCAAAGAGUGAUUGAAAUUAUCGAGAGGGAAGUUGAUGGAGGCCGGUGAUGCACCCCGGUCGGAUGUGGAAUGGCGAUGAGUCGGUCCGAUGAUCGACUCAGGGCAUAGACCAACAUAGAUUGGGGGGACACCCAAGGCCCGGGCUCCCGAUACGCUCGUUAAAUGUCGUCUCCUCAAUUGUGGAAGGCAGCGCACACCUCCGACAUGCUUUGGCAUCUGCGCGCUACGGACGCUGGCCUGUGGGCUCCCUAUUUAACCCAUCUUGAAAACCAGGAUGUGGCGGUCAACGACAAUGUUAGGUAGUCAGGAGAAGUUGGAAGGAGCCUUGGGAAGAGUUAUCUUUUCUAUUUAAAAGACUGCCAACUUUUAAAUCAGCUAAGCCGGAGGAAGGGUCCAGCGGCUGGAAGAGCACCGCACUUCGUAUGGUGUCCGGUGCACUACCGGUGGACCUUGAAAAUCCAAAGGACCUAAUGCCAUCCAUGCCCGGUUGUACUCAUUACCACAUCAGGUCUCCAAGGGGAACAACCUCUGGUCGAUGGAAAAAUAUAUGCAAGGGAAGUCAGCAAAAUAGAUCCGUAACUUCUGGAAAAGGAUUGGCACUGAGGUCUGGGUAUGGGGGUCCCAGUCCCAAACCCAUUGGCUGUUGGUGGACUACUCGAGCUGCUUCUGUAGCGAGAGCGGGUCGCUGUGUGUCGGUUGGGUGACGGACUAGGAACGGUUCCUUCGGAGGCCUUCCCCGUGCGUCGAAUAGCCAACUCAGAACUGGAAAGGACAAGGGGAAUCCGACUGUUUAAUUAAAACAAAGCAUUACGAUAGUCCCAACGGAUGUUCACGCAUUGUGAUUUCUGCCCAUUGCUCUGAAUGUCAAAGUGAAGAAAUUUAACCAAGCAUGGAUAAACGGCGGGAGUAACUAUGACUUUCUUAUUGUAGUCAAAUACCUCGUCAUCUAAUUAGCGACGCGCAUGUAUGGAUUAAUGAGAUUCCCACUAUCCUUGUCUACUAUCAAACGAAACCACAACCAAGGGAACGGGCUUGGCAGAAUCAGCGGGGAAAGAAGACCCUCUUGAGCUUGACUCUACUCCGACUUUAUAAAAUAACUUGAGAGGUGUAGUAUAAGUGGGAGUCGAAAGGUAAAAGUGAAAUACAACUACUUUUAAUGUUAUUUACUUAUUUCGUGAAUCGGAAGUGGGGCACUGCCCCUCUUUUUAGACCCAAGGCUCGCUCUGCGGGCCAAUCCGAGAUGAAGACAUUGUCAGGUAGGGAGUUCGGCUUGGGUGGCAUAUCUGUUAAAAGAUAAUGCAGGUGUCCUAUGAUGAGCUUAACGAGAACAGAAAUAUCGUGUGGAAUAGAAUGGUAAAAGCUUGUUUGAUUCUGAUUUCUAGUACGAAUACAAACCAUAAAUGUGUGGACUAACGAUCCUUUAGACCUUUGGAAUUCGAAGCUAGAAAUGUCAGAAAAGUGUCACCACAGGGAUAACUAGCUUGUUGCAUCCAAGCGUUCAUAGCAACAUUGCUUUUUCAUCCUUCGAUGUCGGCUAUUCCUAUCAUUGUGAAGCAGAAUUCACCAAGUGUUGGACUGUUCACCCACCAAUAGGGAACGUGAGCUGGGUUUAGACCGUCUUGAGACAGGUUAGUUUUACCCCACUUAUGACAGUGUUGCAGUAGUAAUUCAACCUAGUACGAGAGGAAACAUUGAUUCACACAAUUUUUCAUCGCACUUGGUUGAAAAGCUAGUGGCGCAAAGCUACCGUGUGCUGGAUUAUGACUAAAUGCCUCUAAGUCAGAAUCCAGGCUAGAAGCGAUGCAUGCGCCCGCUGUCUACUUUCUGACCCGUAGUAGAGGCCUCGGCCCCCAAGGACAUGUAUCAUUUACUAAGACACCGCGGAGGAAGAGUCGCGGUGGCCGUCUUGAAGUGUAAUUUCCAUCAAGCGGUGGGUAGAAUCCUUUGCGGAUGACUUAAAUAUACGAUGGGUUGUUGUAAGUGAAGAGUGGCCUUGCUGCCACGAUCCACUGAGAUUCAUCUCUUUUUCACUCUAAUUCAUCCCUCCCCAUCCA
This 2756-nucleotide ribosomal RNA is filed under the name Capsicum annuum. Its description in RNAcentral is "eukaryotic LSU rRNA". The stretch from base 388 to 2743 matches the Rfam family "Eukaryotic large subunit ribosomal RNA". Lineage: Eukaryota; Viridiplantae; Streptophyta; Magnoliopsida; Solanales; Solanaceae. The record is from RNAcentral.